Coturnix japonica (Japanese quail) is the source of this 7382-nucleotide non-coding RNA. Lineage: Eukaryota; Metazoa; Chordata; Aves; Galliformes; Phasianidae. The record is from RefSeq and is a predicted model, not a curated record.
GGCAGAGUUUUACUUCAGACUUGCUCAGUAACAACUGGAACCCAGGAGAAAACAUGCUACAUCAAGGUGUGUGUGAGGGGUUCUUUAUCUGUCAGUAGGAAACUCUACCUGCAAAAGCACCUGCAGGGCUCAGGGUACCUCUGGCUCAAUGAAUUAGCUUGCACCCUAAAUCCCAGCAAGGAAGCCAUGUGUCCUGCAUUGGAAACCCAGGGCUUCUGUGGGCACUGAAGCCAGGUGCACCCUAGGAACACCCCCAUUAUGCUAACUGCCCCCAUUAUGAGUCUGGCAAGCAGGGGCACUGGGAAAGGUUGCUGGGGAAACAUCCCAUGGCCAAUAAGCACACCAUAGGGGGCUGCAGCUGAUGCCAGGGACCAGCUGGCCAGCCCAGCAGCAGCUCUAUGGGAUAAUGACACAAGAUUGACACCAAUGUAUGAAUAACGAGGCUGCUAAGGAGAUGGAAGGGCUGUCCCCAUCCACAUGGUGGGAGGGAGGAGCUAAGGAGGGAGCUGAGCACUCUAUAAAGGGUCUCUGUCUUCACUCAGUCUGGAGCAGUGAGGAAGAAGGAGAUGCUGGACCAAGAGCCAAAAGAGAAAGGGCAAAAGGGCGAAGAAACAAAGCUGGUUACCCUAACUUUAAAAAGGAGGCAGCCCUGUUGUACUGACCGUGAUGUGGCUGGUUGAGAAGCUGUUGGAUUGCCAGUUUCCUGGCCAGAAGGAAGUCUGCAAGAGCCUGGCGUGGGGAGCUGUCCUCCAGGAGCAUGAUGGCACACAAGGCUUCUGCCACUGCCUGGUCUGACACGGUCUGGGACUUCAGCAGAGACUUGCUCUCCUGCAAGAUUGUGGAUCUGCCAAGGAAAGGAACCAGACAGUGACCAAGUGCUGGAGGGAGGAGGUCUGGCAUUUGACAGAAACUGAAGUUUGGUUAGUAGUUUCUGCUCAGGAUCUCUUAAGUACUGCAGAAAUGUACUGUUACUUAAUCAUAUAAUGGCUUCAGUUGGCCAUAAAGAUCAUCUAGUUGCAACCCCUGCUGUGGGCUGGCUGCACAUGGCCUUGUAUACCUCCAGGGAUGGAAUACCCACGGCUCUGGGCAGCAGUGCCAGGGCCUUGACAACCUCUGGGUAAAGAAUUUAGUCCAGAUGUCUAACCUGAAUCUCCUUUUUAGUUCAGUGCCAUUCUCCUUUGUCCUAUCACUAACAGCCCAUGUAAAAUGUUCUCCCUUUAGCGUUCAGUGCUCGAGAAGAGCUUGUGAUGCAGAAAUGAGGUCUGUCCACUUUCAACACCCCCAGCUCCCCCAGCCUGGGGGAUAAUGUUGCAUGUGGUGCCUCGCAGGACACAGCAGAGGGGGAUAAUCCCUGUCAACACAGCUCAGGAUGCCGUUGGCCUUUGGGGCUGUUUCACACCCUUCUUUAACCCCCCAACACCACAUCGCUGCUCUCAGCUCAUCCCAUUGCCCACCUGAAGUGGCUGGCGGCGGCCACUUGGCGCAGCAGGAUGGGGAAACGAGCCAGAAUGGGGCUGUAACGAGCCCGGGGAGCAUCGAGCUGCAUCAAACCGUGCAGGUGACGGCAGAGCAGGUAGAGGUGAGCGGCGGGCAGGUACCGCCCGGCUUCCAUAGCGCUCCACGCCCGUUCGGGGAUAUCCAACAGCAGCUUCAGCUGUGAGGCAGCUCGAUACAGCUUCUCGUGCAGCCGUGGCGGCUCCUGCGGUUGAUAAUUAAUUAAUUAACGCCAUUAAUUAAUGUGAACAUCCCCUCGCCCACCCGCUCGCUGCUCACCUGCGGAGCUGGGCUGGGUCUCGUCACCCCGCCUCGUUGUAGGCCCCGCACGGAGCCCAGCAGCCUCUCAGCGCUCAGCCUCAUCUCCGAGAUGGUGUCAGCCGCCUCGAUCAGGUCUCGGUAUCGUUCUCCCACCAUCUGUCUCAGCUCUUCUCGCUUCUGUUCGAUGCCGGCCCGCAGUUUCCGUUCCGCCUCACGCAGCUCGGCCGCUGUGUGAGCUUCGAACAGAGCCUCGGCCUCAGCGCCCCGCAACCCCACGGCCGCCAUUACUGUGGUGCGGGACGGAAGUGAUGUGGUGCCGCCAUCUUGGAGUCGGGUAGGGCUACUUCCGGUAGCGUGCCGCCAUCUUUGUGCCGGGCGGAGUGCCGCCAUGUUGCUAUGGUAGGAGAGAUGCGGGGGGAACACCCGACCUGCGGGCCUUGGGUUCGGGUCCCGGUCCCGGUUCGGCUCCCUCCCUCCUGGCUUCUGGUUCAGGCCCAGCCUUAUCCGCAGCGCUAAGACACGGAGCCGGGCCUCAACUCAGCCGCAAUGCCCUGCGGGCACCGCUAGGGGGCGCCCUUAGUACGGCCGAGCCCUCUAUGUGCUCUGCUUAUGGGGUGGGAUGCUGCCAUGUACCCAUUGAAAACAGCAAAUCCCCCCUUUUUUUAGUUAAAUGUUUGAUUUGAUGCUGUUUUGUGGGUGUUUUUCCCACUUUAAGUGUAGCUCCGACCUGAAAUACGCGUGUUAUCUCGUGUUUGCAGUCCCUGGAUGCAACAAGGCGAGCUCAGAGCAAUGCAGGUCCUACACAGGGCACUUAUUGGCUUUCUUAUUGCCUGUGUUCCUCUAUGGGCAUUUAAUCUGUAGCAGAGUCAAUGUUUAAACAUUGCAGCACAACCCUCAGUGCUCCUAUGGAGCACACACAGCCCUACCUGGUGCCACUGCCAUCAGUGGGUUAAACCACCAGCAGUUGGUAUUUUAUAGGCUCUGAUCCCUUCAGAAACACCACAGCCUGAAUAGAAAACCUGCUGCCUUGGAGCUGUUCAUAGGGAGUUUGUGUAACCCUCGUACCCGCAGCUCUUUGUGGUCACGCUUUGUCUGUGACCCAUCUCGUUUUGUGGCCUGAGUUUGUGCUGCCUUGGAGCAAUGGGGAGCUUUUAGGGCAGCCAGCUCUACCAUAGGGACACUCUGAGCUGAGACCAACCCUGCUGGGGGAGCUACAGUGAGAUGGGAGGGGGAACAGUGAGACUAUGGAGGACACAAAGUGUGCUCUGCCCUUGGUAAUACUCUGGGUUUGGUGCCUUUUCACCUCUUGGGAGGAGUCCCAGCCUCUUCUAUACUAAUUUUGCUCUUGCCCAGCUCGGGCACAUGCACAGAAAGUCAGAAAUGGUAGGAAAACUUGUUUACUUUCCUCCCACCCCCAUCCACGUUUCCAUCCCUGUGACACAGACAGCUGGGAGCCUUUGCUGCAGAAAGGCUCAAUUCCGCACCGACACCGAGAGAAACCAUAUUGCCACCGUGAGAAAGGCUUCAGGCAGAAAUGCUCUCCAUCGUGUUCCAGUCACAAUGUCUUACACCAGACCCACACGCACUACACAGAGCACAGAUACACAUACAGAGGGGUGUAUGUACAGAACAUGGCAGUGUGGCACGGCGCUGCUUGGAGAACCCCAGCUUGGCUAUUAAGGGCUCAGCACUCAGCAGCAGCCUAAACUCUUUUCCCCUUGCCCUGCUCAAGUGCUGUUGCUGCCUGUGAGCACAGGAGCUGCUUCCACAAUCCCUCCUGGCUCGUGCACACCACAGCCAGCCCCAUAGGGAUGACCCACAGGGCUGGGUCUGACUGCUCCUUGUGGGGUGCACAGCUAAACAGAGGGGUGCAGAGUAUCUCUACAGCAUCAGGGAUAACCAAACCUUCCGCUGGCAUAUCUGCUAUAUAUACAUAUGUACAAUCACCCACCCCUUCCCUCCUGACCAUGCAGUACAGUGUGGGGUACUUGGGCUUUUUGUCCCUUGUCUCCUUCUGGUCAGGGCACAGAUCCAGACAGGUUCCCCUGAUCCCAGCUGGAGUCAUGUCCUUGUGUUUUGCUGUCCUGGUCCUGGAGCAAUCAGCAGGAUGAAAUCUGACACGAGGAGUGUGCAGCUGGGGUUGCAGGCUGACAGGGAAGGGCAGAUGUGUCCUCAGGCCAGAAAACAGCAGUUUGCUUUUCAGACGUAGCGAUGGAAAGUUCGACUUUGAGGUCUGCUGCACUCUUUGCCUGUGCCUUAAUGAUGAUCUCCCCUCUGUACAGCCGUGGCAGAGCUGGGACCAGGAGGAUACAGGCUCUCCCUGAGAGGUUGGAAAUCAGCUUGUUCAUAGCAAGGGCUGAAACAACCCCAGGAUGCAGCUCUCAGGCUAUGCACCCCAGUACUCCCAGCACAAACAUCAUUGGCAUUUCAGAGCCCCGGUGCCCUUAUCUUGCAGUCCCAGGGGCUCAGCUCUUGCAUCUUUCUGGUGCUGUUUUAGGGAGCUAGUGCUGUUAGUGUCCCCAUUGUGCUCCCUGUUAGCCCCUUGGUGUGACCAUGGGGCCAUAUGCUGCUUGGGGCUGCUCCAGCAAGGCUCUGCAGGCAAUGGUCUGAUGCUGGCUCCUACUCUUCUAUCUGCUGAGCAGAAACAAGGGUACUGAGGGGAUGGGGAGGGAUGUGGGAACCAAGCCUGGCUCUGAGCAAUAGGAUGUAUUCAGAGCCUGGGAGUCGUUGGAUCCUCCAUCAAGGAUAAGGGACAGAGACUUGGGGAAGCCCUCCAGAGAUAGAACAGUGCAGUUUGAUAGGAAACUGUUAUUUUAAAGAAGUCCAAGGCAGCUUUGGUGCUGAUAUCAGGAGCUGUAGAGAUUCAACAAGAAGGCUGAAGAGCCAAACCCAGCCUCUCAUUACCCAGCAGACUUUGGCUGCCAAGCACUGGAUGGAACCAGCCACCGCAGCACCAGGAGCCAGCCUCUGUCCUAGGACACAACGUUCCUCAUCUGUAUGUGGGAUCAAGUGAUGGAAUUGAGGGCAACCUGUUUCUCAUGGGCUCGGGGUCACCACGCAGGUGCUGGCACACAGGAUCGUACCACACCUGCAAUUUGGGUUAAAUCUGUUCCAGCCAGGGCAGGAGGGAGUUGUAAUUAAUCUUAUUUAUCUGGAAAUAGUCUGCAUGUGAAGUGGCAGCAGAGCUGCUCCGGCACUUGCAAGAUCAACCUAUUUGCUCUGAAAUGAACUGGGAGAGAUAUCUCAUUAUGCUGCUGGCAACCCUGCGAGGCUUUUCUGAGCAGAUCCAAUAUGAGGUCAAGUUCCCAGCUAAAAUCAAGUGGCUGAGAAGGAAAACUUUGUUACUCGCAGCAGCAACAGCGCUGCUGUUUAUUAGGUAGCAACGAGCCAGCCUGAAAGCAGCACACAGAGGAGUUGCCCCUAAAUAGAAAGGGGAACACCCCAUGCUUCCCUGCACUAUGGGGAGGUGAUGGCAGGAGCACUGCCAGCACUGCAGCACCUGCUGGGGGCUGCAAACAUCGGGGUCUUAACCCUUUCCCUGCCUCCCUGACACCUCUCCUGCCCCAGGCUCUUCCCAUACAAAUAACUCUUCUCCCACCCACCAGAUAUUAAGCACCCGGAGCGCAGCUGAUGCGUCGCUGCAGCCUUGACACUAAAGCCUUACACUGGCAGAGAGCUGCACCAGGCUGGCAAUCACGCUCCGAUAUUUCAUGGUAAUGUGACAAGCUGCUCUUGUUUUAAUUCCUGCGGCAUCAAUAGGCAGCCUGCGCUGCCGUCACCACUGCUCGUGUUGGAUUUAUACCCUUUAAUGAAGCUGUCGUGGGGACACGCUCAGCAAGUGGCUGCCAGCAGCUCAGUGCUGAGCCCCCGCAGAGGUAAAUGGUUAAAAGCAAAUAAAUGCUGACAGUGCCCUACUUUGCCCCAGUAACCCAAGCCCCAUACCCAGAGGAGUGUUCUCGUGCUGGUAUCUGAGUGAACUGUGCCAGGGAGCAGGCACUGAGCCCAGCACUGAGCUCCUGUGGGGUUCUGGGACUGGUGGGGGUGCUGGGGUUGCAAAGUAGGACAGGGGUGAUGCACUAGGAGGGGGGCAUCACUGCAAAACCCCAGGAUAAUAGGCAUUAUCUGCCUCGCACUUCCCCUCCUGCUCACACAGUGCUGCUGAGAAGGGAAACCACGGUGAAGGGUUUGAGUGCUGACCCUGAGGCACGUUGGGGCACAGCAGAUCACUGCAAGACAUUCUUGAACAGCUAAACUCAGCGGGCACUGCAGCAGCUGGGCUCUAAUUGCUGUGUUUGGUGCAUGUCAGCUCCAGGGGUUAUGCCAUGGGAGGGCACGUGGUGGGCUGAGGUUUACUGUGCUCCCAGUGGCUGGGCCAGACCCACCACCCCCUCACUACAUGACCUGCACCCCAGGGUUCCCCUUACCCAUGUUGGCUACAGGAGAGGCACUGGGGUCUGGAUGCUCUUCUCUGUUCUUCCUCCUGGCUUUGUGCUGAAAGCCCCUGGGGGAAAUGCUGUCCCCCCUCUGCAUUUACCUGCAGGACUGGCACCCCAGCAGUGACAGGGGUGGCUCUCAGUGGUCACAGCCUUGCCGUUAGCAACAGGGUGUGCAGACAUGAGCAGCUGCAGCCAUCCCACAGAAGAGGCAGCCGAGGGAUUCUUCUCCAGGCAUCUCAGAGGCUCCUUCUUCAGCUCAGGCUCCUCUGCUCCAUCCAGUCCUUUAGGCUCAGAUGAGGGUCUGGGCCAAGUCCCAUUGAGCUGUCAACCAUUCUCUCCAUCACCCCUUUUUCUUUUGUGACUUGCCUGGAGUGAGCAGGGAGGUGUUCUUGGUAAGCAGGAGAUGUUCGCUCACUUCUCCAGCCCUGGUGAUUCUCUGUACCACCACAGGGACAGGACAAGCCCACAUCUCAUGUGUCAAUAGCAGGAUGAGCACUGCUGUACUCCAAACCCCAAUAUUAUACUGCUGGGUAAACAUUUCCAAGGAUUUCCUACUGGAUCAUACAGUGGCUGCUCAACCAGCCCAGCCAGGAGCAACCAGAGACUGAUGUGAAUGGAUCCAGGAGGAGAAAAAUGAAAAAGUGGGGAAAUCCCGUAGGAUCAGUUUCCCACUUUAUAGGAUCCCAUAGGUCAUAGGAGGGAGGAAGGCAGGGGCUCUCCUGCAGCAGGGAGGCUGUGGGGUUGGCAGAGGCAAAACAGGAGCAUGGAGGGACUCGGAGAUGUUGGAGAGGGCUGUGUCCUCGGGCAGCCUGCCUCUGUCCUGCCGUGCCUCCUCCAUGCAGGACAGCUCUCUGCAAAGGAGGCUGUCAAACAGCAGCAGGGAGGCUUUGGGGUAGAUGUAGCUGAGUAACUUACAAAGUCAGGCUGAACGUAACCCCUUGUCUCCCCAGGGAGGACGUGACUGCACAGCAUGCUUGUGCUCACCAGGGAGCUCCCAGCAUCUCUUGGCUCUGAGCUGGCACAGUUCUGCAGUAGUAUAGGCAGUGUGUGCACCUGUAGUCUCAGCUCCUCCUGAGGCCACCCCCCACACACUCAGGUCCCAGCCCAGCCAGGCUGCCGUUCUCCAUCCAUCAGUUUGAUGUGAGCACCGUUCUGGGGCAGAGCACCCAAAGCCAAUUUCAGCCCUGUGGG